This 494-nucleotide ribosomal RNA is filed under the name uncultured bacterium. Its description in RNAcentral is "partial 16S ribosomal RNA". It matches the Rfam family "Bacterial small subunit ribosomal RNA", at positions 28 to 507 of the family's 1533-position model. The record is from RNAcentral.
GACGAACGCUGGCGGCGUGCUUAACACAUGCAAGUCGAACGGUGAAGCGCCUUCCUUUUUGGUGGGUGUGGAUGAGUGGCGAACGGGUGAGUAACACGUGAGUAACCUGCCCCCUUCUUCUGGAUAACCGCAUGAAAGUGUGGCUAAUACGGGAUAUUCUGGGUCUGUCGCAUGAUGGGUCUGGGAAAGAUAUUGUUUCGGUGGGGGAUGGGCUCGCGGCCUAUCAGCUUGUUGGUGGGGUGAUGGCCUACCAAGGCGGUGACGGGUAGCCGGCCUGAGAGGGUGGACGGUCACACUGGGAAUGAGACACGGCCCAGACUCCUACGGGAGGCAGCAGUGGGGAAUAGUGCACAAUGGGAGCAAGCCUGAUGCAGCGACGCCGCGUGAGGGAUGGAGGCCUUCGGGUUGUGAACCUCUUUCGCCAGUGAAGCAGGCCUGCCUCGUUUGUGGGUGGGUUGACGGUAGCUGGAGAAGAAGCGCCGGCUAACUACGUG